This is a small nucleolar RNA of Suncus etruscus (white-toothed pygmy shrew), 132 nucleotides long. NCBI's taxonomy places the organism in Eukaryota, Metazoa, Chordata, Mammalia, Eulipotyphla, Soricidae. The record is from RefSeq and is a predicted model, not a curated record.
AUGCUGCCUCUAAUUUCCCUGCAGGCCUGCACAGGUCCUGGGGGUCAGGCUGCAGCGCCAAUGCACUGGCUUGCUCAUAACUGGGGCAACUGGCCCCUCUUCUGGGGGCCCUUUUAACCUGGAGCGACAUUU